CCUACGGGGGCUGCAGUGGGGAAUAUUGGACAAUGGGCGAAAGCCUGAUCCAGCCAUGCCGCGUGUGUGAAGAAGGCCUUCGGGUUGUAAAGCACUUUCAGUGGGGAAGAAAGCCUUGGGGCUAAUACCCUCGAGGAAGGACAUCACCCACAGAAGAAGCACCGGCUAACUCCGUGCCAGCAGCCGCGGUAAUACGGAGGGUGCGAGCGUUAAUCGGAAUUACUGGGCGUAAAGCGCGCGUAGGCGGUCUGAUAAGCCGGUUGUGAAAGCCCCGGGCUCAACCUGGGAACGGCAUCCGGAACUGUCAGGCUAGAGUGCAGGAGAGGAAGGUAGAAUUCCCGGUGUAGCAGUGAAAUGCGUAGAGAUCGGGAGGAAUACCAGUGGCGAAGGCGGCCUUCUGGACUGACACUGACGCUGAGGUGCGAAAGCGUGGGUAGCAAACAGGAUUAGAUACCCCAGUAGUC
This 464-nucleotide ribosomal RNA is filed under the name Vreelandella stevensii. Its description in RNAcentral is "partial 16S ribosomal RNA". It matches the Rfam family "Bacterial small subunit ribosomal RNA", at positions 338 to 795 of the family's 1533-position model. The record is from RNAcentral. Lineage: Bacteria; Pseudomonadati; Pseudomonadota; Gammaproteobacteria; Oceanospirillales; Halomonadaceae.